This is a long non-coding RNA of Biomphalaria glabrata, 1808 nucleotides long. RefSeq lists it as uncharacterized. NCBI's taxonomy places the organism in Eukaryota, Metazoa, Mollusca, Gastropoda, Planorbidae. The record is from RefSeq and is a predicted model, not a curated record. The transcript has 2 exons.
CUAAAUCGAUAGGAAAACAACACUUACAUGAUUCGCCCUGAUGGGUCUUUCCAUUUUUCUCAUUGUGAGUACUAUCCAUCAAGCAGCUCAGCCUUUUUCCAUAUUGAAACUGAAAGUGCUUUCCAUUUUAAAGUUGAUCUUUUCGGAUAAUUACAAAUGCCAGGUGUGUGCACAUGUUCUUGACUUAUCUACGAUAGAUCCAGAGCUGACCAAAAGAAAUAAACACAUCAAAGCAUUUUUUUUUUUUUAAAUUGUUUCUCUCAGAAAUUAAGUCCUACUUUUCAUUAAACUUCCGAGUCAUAACACACAACAAAUCGAAAGCGGGGCAUGUGUUAUGGCCGGAUCAUAUCUCGGUUAAAGUCUAGUGUGAAUCCAUUUAGGCUAACUGUCGUGGAUAAAUCCGUGUUUAUAGAUAUAAUAAGCCUCUUGAAAAAAAUACAUAAAUGUGUAAGCAUAGUUACACAGCUCUAGAUAAAACUCAAACUCUUGAAUUCAAAGUGUUUAGAUGGAUUUAAUGCUUCAAAACAGACAAAGUCAACCAAAAGGAUCCAACUGAAUACAUGUGUCAAGUCAAUAUGACUGGAAGAUGCAACAUGUAUGACUGGGUGACUGACUCCAUGUAGAACAUUGAUAUGAUAGUAAACUUUUGUUUUUGUCAGGCAUCAAACAUUCAAAGGUUCUGUUUCCAUAGUUAAAAGAUGAAGUAAAGUAUAACAAUUUCAAGUAAAUAGGUCAAUAAGAUUUAACAAAUAAUUACAUGGCAAUUUGUUUUUUUUUUUAUGUAAGGGGAAACAACUUUCAGGGUAAAAAUGUUAAACCAGACAAAGGGAGGCAAAUCAUGUUAAAAUUUUUUUUAAAACAAACCAACAUGGACAUACCAAUAACUACAAGAUAAGGUAGCUUGGUAUUAUUAAAAUUACAAUGUGUGAUCAUUUAAAAAAAAAAAUAGGGCUUAGGAUUCCACUAGAAAAACUAGGAUCUAUAACUCUAUUUAAACUCUUUAAAAUGGAAUCUUGAAAUUUAGGAAAUAUUAGGUACUCAAAUAGCUAUUCCAAAAAUUCAAAGGAUUAACUAAACAGCAUUAGUAUUUAUCCUUGACAAGAGUUCAAAAUAAGUCCACCAGUCCCACUUGUGACCAAACAUGUACCACAUACUAUAUAUAACAAUUGAUCUCAAGCUUUUCUCAACACACACUAUGCCACGGGCAUACAUUUGCAAUCCAAUCUCCAAAAUGCAUAAAAAUCAAACUUUGAAACUAUGACAUUAAAAUUUUUGACUACAGACAAAUGUAUAAAGAAUAAACAUUUGAGAUAAUUGCCCAACUUGAGAACACACUGAUCAAUUCAAUCUCUUGUCAUUGUACUACGAUUGUCUUUGUGUGUUAAUUCAUCACAAAUUAAAGAAAUAUAUGUAUAAUAUCAUAAACUAGCACAGUGUUUCCCAAACCUGUUCCACGAAACCCUAGUGUUCAGUGGGGCCUGAAUAAAUGUUCCACAAACUACUGUAAUAAUUAACUAGUAGGCCACUAUGUGGAUUAAACUCUCUAAAAAAAAAUAAGCAAAGUGUUCUGCUAAAUAUUCAAAAAGUGCGAAGUGUUCCGUUAAGGGAAAAGUUUGGGAACCACUGGACUAGCAGAACUUUCCAUGAUGAGAAGAAAGGGAUACAAUGCUAUGUUGUAAAUAAAACAAAGCUCACAAUGUCAAUUUGCCUUAGCAAGUGUUUUGCUAGUACAAAAGGUGGCAAGCUCUGAACUAACCUAUAAGGUUAUCUAUGUAUUGGUCUGACUGGAUUUAACAAACAACAAACAA